This 577-nucleotide ribosomal RNA is filed under the name uncultured incertae sedis 5 bacterium. Its description in RNAcentral is "bacterial SSU rRNA". It matches the Rfam family "Bacterial small subunit ribosomal RNA", at positions 97 to 670 of the family's 1533-position model. The record is from RNAcentral.
GGCGAACGGGUGAGUAGCGCAUCGGAACGUGCCCAGUAGUGGGGGAUAGCUCGGCGAAAGCUGGAUUAAUACCGCAUACGACCCAUGGGUGAAAGCGGGGGACCGCAAGGCCUCGCGCUAUUGGAGCGGCCGAUGCCCGAUUAGCUAGUUGGUGAGGUAAAGGCUCACCAAAGCAACGAUCGGUAGCUGGUCUGAGAGGACGACCAGCCACACUGGGACUGAGACACGGCCCAGACUCCUACGGGAGGCAGCAGUGGGGAAUUUUGGACAAUGGGGGAAACCCUGAUCCAGCCAUGCCGCGUGCGGGAAGAAGGCCUUCGGGUUGUAAACCGCUUUUGGCAGGAACGAAACGGCGCGCGCUAAUACCGCGCGCUAAUGACGGUACCUGCAGAAUAAGCACCGGCUAACUACGUGCCAGCAGCCGCGGUAAUACGUAGGGUGCAAGCGUUAAUCGGAAUUACUGGGCGUAAAGCGUACGCAGGCGGCUGUGCAAGACAGGUGUGAAAUCCCCGGGCCCAACCUGGGAACUGCACUUGUGACUGCAUGGCUAGAGUCCGUAAGAGGGGGGUGGAAUUCC